Pleuronectes platessa (European plaice) is the source of this 5657-nucleotide long non-coding RNA. RefSeq lists it as uncharacterized. NCBI's taxonomy places the organism in Eukaryota, Metazoa, Chordata, Actinopteri, Pleuronectiformes, Pleuronectidae. The transcript has 5 exons. The record is from RefSeq and is a predicted model, not a curated record.
UACCUCCUGCCUGCCAGAGACACCCUGUGCAAGCAUGGCUUCCUGCUCAAUGUUGAUCCACACAAACAUCAGCCAAGAUAACACGGGGAGGAACAAGGCCUCUGACCUAGUUUGGGAGAAAGCAUACACAUUAGAAUAGAAGUCGAAUCCCGAUCUUCACGGCUGCACUGGUGUUUCAGGUGGAAUGUCACGUCCUACCCGGUGCUGAGCAGCAGGUACGUGGCCGUGAGAGAGAGGAAUAUGCUGAGGAGUCGAUGGAAGAGCCGAGUAGAGCUCAACAAUGGAACCAGUAUGGACGAGCCUGAGAAGAGAGAGGGAAUUCGAAGGUGUCGUAAUGGAUCUCAUGUCGCUCACGCCCCCCCCCACCUACCUAACGUGGUCCAGCUGAUGAUCUGAUUGAGAAGCGGCAGGCCCUGCUUUUGCUGCAGGCUGGAGUGUGUGAGCGAGGGCACGUACGCGCACACUGCCACAUGGAGCAUCUGUGGAGUUUUGUCAGGUACAACUUCAGAAUAAAUAAAUUCAGGUACACAAUCACACACAAACACAGCAUGACAUGUGCUGCAGAUACCUGGGUAAUAAACUGCUGUCUGUCACCGAAGCUCAGCGGCGUCCUCUGUCUCGAUGACCAGAGGUAACAGGCUGAAGUGAAGAGGGCGAGCACACCUGCACAGGUGCUGAGCAGACAAACAAAAUAUGAUAUUUUAGUUAAGCAUAGGGCUUCAUUUUGCACAGGUUGAAUUAGCAGCUAUGUUCCUGACUCGUCCAUUAAUCAAAGUCCUUUGUGAUUUUUAGGUGAAAACAAUAUCGUGAGGCUUUUUCAGUAGUUGUUUAAAAGUGAAUGUUUCAUUCAUUGACCUGAAUGUGGCUUUUGAGUUGUUGUUUGGUUUUUAUACAUUCUGAUAAACUGAAGGUAACACAGGAAGCACUCACACCAGAUGGAUGUUGGCCUCUCUACCGACAACUGGCAUCAGGGGGAAAAGAGCCAAAAACAAGCAGCCAAGAAACCAGCUCAAAGAGCGGAGCUACAUGGAAACAGAAACAACAAGUUCAUAUGGAGCCAUAAUCUUUGACAUGGUUACCUUGGCCUUCCCGAAAAGUCCCGACAUGAAGGGCCAGAGGGAGAGGACAGCCAGGCCCACAGUCAGCAUGGCGCGAUGGAAGAAGCUCACCACCUGGGGGCAGCAAAGGUGAACUGUCAGCCACAGAACAGAGCAUAUAGAUAAUUGUAGGUUUUAGAUUAUGUCGUAGGUAGAAAAUAUGCAUCUAGCUGUACAUUAGAAAACCAUCAAAGACACCUACCAGUAACUCAAUCCCAAAUGCCACCAGCACAAAAUAGCCCAAACAUUUCCACAGUGGAAGAGAAGGCGCCGACUUGAUCAAAUCUUUCAGAGUGCCGGACCUGAAAUGGAUCAUUAAUACAAUUAUUUUUCAGUAAGAAAAUUGAGAAAAAGAACGAGAACACUACAAAGACAAGUGUCACUCACUCUUUCAGGACAGAGUACCAUACAGGGACCGGCAGCAGGCAGUAGAUAUAAUAGGUAAUCGGGCUCCUUUGGACCAGCAGGAACCCAGAGAUCACUACUGUCACACACAGACACAGCCUCUCCAGGGUAUAGCUGCGAGUCUGCAAUAUGCACACACACUGGGGCGUUACCAAACAAUGUGACAGAGAAAUUUGUUUCCCUUAAACUUAUUUUGGCGGCAGGGCAGCGGGAUUAUAUAUUGAGCGCCCUGACCUGGUUGAGGAGACUGGGGUGCCUGUGGAGGCUGGCAUGAGUCUUCAGGAUGACCAUGACAACAUAUGAGGUCCAGCCUACAAAUCCCAGCACCACACUGCAGCCCAGGAAGAACCUGUCAUAGGUAUGGUAGUACGCCAGGCCCUCCAAGGAGCGGGAGAUCAGAGACUUGCACAGAGAGAUCUGAGGGGAGACAAGGAAAGGAAGAGGAGUUUGUUAAGUGCAUGGGUGUCAAACAGACAGAAAUGUGUUUAAUUUCACUUUAUGUGUGUAUUUCUAAAGCUAGUUUGGUCUUAAGUUUUAUUUAAAGUCCUAUAUUAUAUGAACUAACAUCUAAUACUAAAUGUUGGGUAUUACAAUACUCACGGCAUCUCCGUACUUCUCCAGCUGAAUCAGUAUUCUGGCCUUGUGGGUGAACUCUGCUUGUUUUGACUCAGUCAGUUGUCUGGGAAAAUACAAAAAGAGACAAAGCAAUAAAGAUAGACUCCGUGAAAUUGCAUUUGAAAUGGCGUCUUAGACACAAUGUGUCCGUGAAUGUAAAUUUCUCAGUUGCUGCCAUCUGGUUAAUGUUCUUACUAAAAUCUAUUUCUGAAUCCACACUCUCGUUGUGACCGAAGACUGACACAAGUCCCUGGUACACAUGCUGUGAUGAAAAGUAAAUUUGUCUUAUUAAAGGUUAUAUAUUUAAGUUUUCCCUGCAGCUGAACGGGUUUUUUUCUGUGCCAAAGGCAGGUAAUGCCGACUGUCGCUGCAGUGGCGAGACCGGCUGGUGUGGUGCUGACUGUUUAGCAAAUUGUGUUUCCCAUUGCUGAACCCACAAUGUUUGUGCUACAUUGGUAAGUAAAAAGCUAUAAAAGGAAUGGAAACCUUCAAAAAGCUUUUUUAACUCACUUGCUGAUGAUCAUUAUUUAACUUAUUGUACUUACUGAUAUGGGGUGAAGAGAAAGGACAAGGUUGUCUCCUUUUUCUGGGUCAUUUUCAUCUAGAAAAAAAAUACAUAAACAACUCAGUCACCCUAAACAACCUUCCAUGUGCUUCAGCACUAUUUAUAACUUGAAAGAUAAGAAGUUUCCCGCCAUUCCUGACCAAUAUGAAUAACAGUAAUAUUAUAUCAGUAGCAGCAGAGAUGAAUGCUGCCAUACCUUGAAUUGCUGUAGUACUUGAAUGGCGUUAGUGUACAUGCUCUCUGCUUUGAACAGGUCACUGUUGUUCAGGUAGAGAAGAGGCAAAACACCCUGUAAUGACACAAAUACACAUGAAGAUGAGCAUAAAGUCAUAAAAACUGAAUAAUUAUCUUUUUAGAAAAUAUUAUAAACUCACAUGAGAAUUUCUACAACUGAACAGAUUUUCACAGCCACUUAAAGGUUCUUAGGAAAUAAAUGUCAGAAAAAUGUAGCUCUGCCUUAUCUCUAAACUUACAACUGAGUUGACAGGAAAGGGCACGCCGAUGAGAGAAGCCAUGAGGGGAGCAAUGUCCGCCUGCAGAAAACAAACAAACUAUGUAAAAGAUUUCACUUCGCCCUUUGUCCUUCAGUUGUAUCACUGCUUUCACACACUGUGAAUGUAGUGACCCUGAUUCCUGUUACUGUCGUGCUAGGCCACGGGUCUUACCUGACUGACGUCCGCCCUGUGGAGGUGCUCCAGUUUCCAAUCUGAGAGAAACAGGGGGGAAUAGGGACAGGAAAGAAUAAAAAUCAAGUAAAGUAUAUAGUAUAAUACAUUUUUCCAAAAUGCUGCUCUGCCUUAUGAGUGAUAUUCAGCAUCUUGUCCUAUGUUUUAAACUACACACAAAUAAUUGCUCUAAGUUGGUGUCCUAGGUUGGUCCUAAAAACAGCUUUAAACUGUUUGAGAGACCUUUAAGUAAAGCGGCUCUAAUAACAGUGCAUGGGUUUAGCACCUUGAAGGUAUCCAUCGUCAUACAGUUGGGGUUCAGUGACUCUACGAGCCCUUUGGACUCCAGCUCCCCACACCACUAGAGGGGUGAGCGUCUCAGAGGGAUGCCCUGCACCGUGAGAGCCUGCAAGAAAACACACACAAAUUUUGUCAUGCCAUGAUCAGAGGUGAACACGUAGGCUGUUCUGCCAUCAUACCCAAAGAAUUCCUCCACUAUGGACACCAGCUCAGCCACACCAGUGUCAACUAAAGCAAUGUUGUCCAGAAACACACAUGGGGACUUACCUUUAGCAACAGCACUAACAUCCUCAUAGAAGCCUGCGAUGAGAGCAACGUGACCAGGCCGAGACUCAGUGGGCACACGCGUGUGUGACACACCCCAGGUGCCUUUCUCCUCCAUCACACGCCUGAUAUUAAGAAACACACAUGCAUACACACACCAGUUACUUAGGAUUUGUGCACAAACUAUGAGAAAAGACAGAGUAUGACAGCAACACACACACUUUUUGCAAAUGUAUAUACUGCUUAUUAUAGGAAUGGACUAAUUAAACACAUACACAGAUAUUUUUGGUAUUAGCUUCCCCACCUCAGGAACGGGGCCCUGGUUGAGCCAUUGGGGAGUAACGUGAAGAGACUGUCCGCUCGGAGGCCAUCGGCCACCAGUAACACCAGUCUGGAGGCGGGCGGGGCCAGCGGUAUAGCCUGGGGCGUCAUGCCGUGGACCAGGGGGGAGGUGAAGUAGAUGUCGAAGAUAGAAAUAAAGAAGAUCACGUGGACCGUCAGUCCAACCAGAAAGAAAGUGAUCAUCCUCAUUUUGCCGGUUAUGCAGAACAACCUGAAGACAGAGGAGGAAAGAGGAAGGAGCUCAUGUAUCUGGAGGUGAAACAACAUGAGAAAUGAAAAUGAAAAUAUUACAAUACUCAGUUAUACUGUCUAUCUUUAACAAAAAGAGAGAAUUAGUCAUUAUAAAGGCUCAGCAUCGUUUAUGAAUUCUAUCUAAUCUCUAGAUCCUUAAGAAUUAUUACAUAGAAUACUUGAUUAAAAACUGUAUUUAGUGUAAUUUUUGUUUUAUGGAACUCACGUUCAUCUCUUCUGAUAUAAGCAAUUUGAAGACAUUAUGUUUCAAACCUGAAUUUGUUUUAUGUGGUAUUUGGAGAUACUUCAUUCUUUUGUUUGUUUAAAAAAAAUCAAUUUAGAAGGUUUAUCAAACCUUACUGGAAGGAUAUGUUCUCAGGAAAUUACUUAGAGCAAUUUAAUCUAUUUUUUUUGUGACUUACUCAUUUCCUUUUUCAUAUUCUAGCUAAUGACUUGUCGUGCCUGUGUGAUGAUAUAUGUAUCAGUCUGAUUCUGGAUCAUUUAGGGCGAUUUUAAUGUUGGAUUGAUUCUUUAUGUGCAUUGUUUUUGUCUGAGCUUUGGUGAAUUGUGUGACUUAGGUUCAGCAUAAUUUAAACUUGUUAAGAUAUAUUUCCCAACGCAAAGGCCAAAACAAUCCUUCUGUCACCAAUGGCCAACCUGCACAAACAAUGACUUCUACACAUUGAUUUCUUUACAUUUCAACUGGCCUCAACACACUGACAGACGUGAAAUCUGACGUGACUCAGCGAAAGAGGCCAUGAAACGAGUCUUACCUGUUCGUAACGUCAGCGGAAUCCCACCACACAACCGGAGGAUACCGUCUCGUUAACGAAUGAAUGGAUGAGCCGAAUAAUCUACUUCCAUUUCACCUAUUCCCCUUUUAACACACUGGUUCAACUUCCAUUUUAUCGUCUUAAAUCCCCAAUUACAGACACGGCGACACCGACAGGCUGUUGCGGCUGUUGCUGUGGUCAAACAGAUCAACGUAAUCUGUACGUUUCCUAAACCAAGUGUCCUUCUUUUAAGAAGAUUACUUCAAGAAACACAGGAGCCACGAGCGUCCACUUCCUUGUUGUGACUGACGUUGACCUGUGAACCCCGCAGCGGAAUUGUGGGUAAUGUAGUUUAAAUAUGUAUCACCCAUGGACCUUUUCUUAUAAAUAAAUGACGUGU